GAUGAAGAACGUAGCGAAAUGCGAUAAGUAAUGCGAAUUGCAGAAUUCAGUGAGUCAUCGAAUCUUUGGACGCACAUUGCGCCCUGUGGUAUUCCGCAGGGCAUGCCUGUUCGAGCGUCAUUUCAACCCUCAAGCCCCGCUUGGUGUUGGGCCCCGCCCGCCGUGGCCGGCCCUAAAGACAGUGGCGGCGCCGCCUGGCCCUCAGCGUAGUACAGCUCUCGCUCCAGGGUCCGGCGGCCGCCUGCCAGAACCCCCCAACUCUGUGGUUGACCUCGGAUCAGGUAGGGAUACCCGCUGAACUUAAGCAUAUCAAUAAGCGGAGGA
This 324-nucleotide unclassified non-coding RNA is filed under the name soil metagenome. RNAcentral describes it as "partial contains 5.8S ribosomal RNA, internal transcribed spacer 2, and large subunit ribosomal RNA". The stretch from base 1 to 120 matches the Rfam family "5.8S ribosomal RNA", at positions 35 to 154 of the family's 154-position model. The record is from RNAcentral.